Molecule: ribosomal RNA, 440 nt
Filed under: uncultured bacterium
Lineage: Bacteria
Description: partial 16S ribosomal RNA
Rfam family: Bacterial small subunit ribosomal RNA
Source: RNAcentral
CCUACGGGAGGCAGCAGUGGGGGAUAUUGCACAAUGGGGGGAACCCUGAUGCAGCGACGCCGCGUGGGUGAAGGAGCGUUUCGGCGCGUAAAGCCCUAUUGGCAGGGAAGAAGAUGACGGUAUCUGACCAAGAAGCCCCGGCUAACUACGUGCCAGCAGCCGCGGUAAUACGUAGGGGGCAAGCGUUAUCCGGAUUUACUGGGUGUAAAGGGGGCGCAGACGGCAAUGCAAGCCAGGAGUGAAAGCCCGGGGCUCAACCCCGGGACUGCACUUGAAACUGUAUGGCUGGAGUGCGGGAGGGGCAGGCGGAAUUCCUGGUGUAGCGGUAAAAUGCGUAGAUAUUAGGAGGAACACCGAUGGCGAAGGCGGCCUGCUGGACUGUGACUGACGUUGAGGCACGAAGGCGUGGGGAGCAAACAGGAUUAGAUACCCCUGUAGUC